RNAcentral lists this ribosomal RNA (504 nucleotides) under Thylactus simulans. RNAcentral describes it as "partial 16S ribosomal RNA". It matches the Rfam family "Bacterial large subunit ribosomal RNA", at positions 1827 to 2596 of the family's 2925-position model. Lineage: Eukaryota; Metazoa; Arthropoda; Insecta; Coleoptera; Cerambycidae. The record is from RNAcentral.
GGUUUUUUGAGUAUAAUUUAAGAUUGGGCCUGCCCCCUGAUUAUUUAAAGGGCCGCAGUAUUUUGACUGUGCUAAGGUAGCAUAAUAAAUAGUUUCUUAAUUAGAAGCUGGAAUGAAAGGUCUGAUGAGAAAAUAACUGUCUCUAUAAAAAUUAUUUUGAAUUUUAUUUUUAAGUAAGAAAGUUUAAAUUUAAUUAAAAGACGAGAAGACCCUAUAGAGUUUAAUAAUUAAAUUUUUAAUUUUAUUUUAGGUUUUUAUAUUAAGAAGAAAUUAAUUAUUUGAUUGGGGUGAUUGAAAAAUUAAAUUAACUUUUUUUAAAGAAUAACAUAAAUGUAUGGAUAAAUGAUCCAUUAAAGUGAUUAUAAGAAUAAAUUACCUUAGGGAUAACAGCGUAAUUUUUUUUAGAGUUCUUAUCGAAAAAAAAGAUUGCGACCUCGAUGUUGGAUUAAAAUUAAAUUUUGGCGUAGAAGUUAAAAAUUUUAGUCUGUUCGACUAUUAAAAUUU